This 253-nucleotide ribosomal RNA is filed under the name uncultured bacterium. RNAcentral's name for it is "partial 16S ribosomal RNA". It matches the Rfam family "Bacterial small subunit ribosomal RNA", at positions 524 to 776 of the family's 1533-position model. The record is from RNAcentral.
UACGUAGGUGGCAAGCGUUGUCCGGAUUUAUUGGGUUUAAAGGGUGCGUAGGCGGCUUAUUAAGUCAGCGGUGAAAUACUCUAGCUCAACUAGAGGGGUGCCAUUGAUACUGAUGAGCUUGAGUACAGAUGAGGUAGGCGGAAUUGACGGUGUAGCGGUGAAAUGCUUAGAUAUCGUCAAGAACACCUAUAGCGAAGGCAGCUUACUAGGCUGUAACUGACGCUGAGGCACGAAAGUGUGGGGAUCAAACAGG